UAGGGAAUCUUCGGCAAUGGGGGCAACCCUGACCGAGCAACGCCGCGUGAGUGAAGAAGGUUUUCGGAUCGUAAAGCUCUGUUGUAAGAGAAGAACGUGUGUGAGAGUGGAAAGUUCACACAGUGACGGUAACUUACCAGAAAGGGACGGCUAACUACGUGCCAGCAGCCGCGGUAAUACGUAGGUCCCGAGCGUUGUCCGGAUUUAUUGGGCGUAAAGCGAGCGCAGGCGGUUUAAUAAGUCUGAAGUUAAAGGCAGUGGCUUAACCAUUGUUCGCUUUGGAAACUGUUAAACUUGAGUGCAGAAGGGGUGAGUGGAAUUCCAUGUGUAGCGGUGAAAUGCGUAGAUAUAUGGAGGAACACCGGUGGCGAAAGCGGCUCUCUGGUCUGUAACUGACGCUGAGGCUCGAAAGCGUGGGGAGCAAACAGG
Molecule: ribosomal RNA, 429 nt
Filed under: bacterium
Lineage: Bacteria
Description: partial 16S ribosomal RNA
Rfam family: Bacterial small subunit ribosomal RNA
Source: RNAcentral